GUCUACUUGACGAGUCCCAUAUAGGACGAAACGUGCGUCAUGGAU
This is a non-coding RNA of Schistosoma mattheei, 45 nucleotides long. Lineage: Eukaryota; Metazoa; Platyhelminthes; Trematoda; Strigeidida; Schistosomatidae. The record is from Rfam.